RNAcentral lists this ribosomal RNA (468 nucleotides) under uncultured bacterium. RNAcentral's name for it is "partial 16S ribosomal RNA". It matches the Rfam family "Bacterial small subunit ribosomal RNA", at positions 28 to 507 of the family's 1533-position model. The record is from RNAcentral.
GACGAACGCUGGCGGCGUGCUUAACACAUGCAAGUCGAACGGAAAGGCCCUGCUUUUGUGGGGUGCUCGCGUGGCGAACGGGUGAGUAACCCGUGAGUAACCUGCCCUUGACUUUGGGAUAACUUCAGGAAACUGGGGCUAAUACCGGCUAGGAGCUCCUGCUGCAUGGUGGGGGUUGGACAGUUUCGGCGGUUGGGGAUGGACUCGCGGCUUAUCAGCUUGUUGGUGGGGUAGUGGCUUACCAAGGCUUUGACGGGUAGCCGGCCUGGGAGGGUGACCGGCCACAUUGGGACUGAGAUACGGCCCAGACUGCUAUGGGAGGCAGCAGUGGGGAAUAUGGCACAAUGGGCGGAAGCCUGAGGCAGCGACGCCGCGUGCGGGAUGACGGCCUUCGGGUUGUAAACCGCUUUCACCUGUUACGAAGCGUGAGUGACGGUAAUGGGUAAAGAAGCACCGGCUAACUACGUG